This 340-nucleotide long non-coding RNA is filed under the name Spirodela polyrhiza (greater duckweed). RNAcentral describes it as "long non-coding RNA (SPOL_LNC001105)". The record is from RNAcentral. Lineage: Eukaryota; Viridiplantae; Streptophyta; Magnoliopsida; Alismatales; Araceae.
GAGUCGGGCAGCGGCGGCGGCGGUGCUAUCAGAGGUGGCGGACGCCGGAGGUGGCGGUGCUGCGGAGGAGGAGGUUCUCUUCGCAGUUGCAGGGCUGGCCGCCGGCAAAUGGGAAGGGUUGCAAGCGACUGCAACCGACGCGUGGAGAGGGGACCCGGAGCGACUCGAGAGGCAUGCAGCCAACGGGCUCCCUGCGAUCUCUGUGCCUUUUCCUCUGAUGGCGUCCACCGAGCAGCCCGACUGAUCCGGAAUAGAGAGGGAUUCCUUCAGACAUAAAAGACGCUUCCGCCUUGAAAUCCUCACGCCUGGGUAGUCUGCGCGAGCACCCACGAGCUUGCUG